RNAcentral lists this ribosomal RNA (116 nucleotides) under Anolis carolinensis (green anole). The record is from RNAcentral. Lineage: Eukaryota; Metazoa; Chordata; Lepidosauria; Squamata; Anolidae.
UUCUGUUAUUGUAGUAAACUUAAGAUAUCAGAUCCCAUCUGAUCUUGGAGGCUAAGCAGGUCAGCUCUGGUUAAUACUUGGAUGGGAGACUGAAUGAGUAACAGGCAUUGUUGGCU